CGGGGGUCGUAGGCCAGGGCGCUGGGCUGGCUGGGGAAGCCAUGCUCCACCGUCUUGCUGAAGGCGAAGAGGUCGUGGCGGAGCCGCUCGCGGUGCGGCUCGGCGCCCUGCCGCCGGAACCGAAACUUCAUCAUGGUGGGGCCGGCGGGGCUCGGUUCGGUACCGGGAGGCGGCGGGCGGGGCCGGUGAUCCCGGGGCAGACGCUCCCGCUGCCGGCGGUGCCGCUCCCGGUCGCGGUGCCGGUCCGGUGCCGGUCCCGGUGCGGGCGCCCCCCCCCGCUCCGAGCGCCGAGCGCCGCGCGCCGAGCCCCGGGCAGGCACCGCCGCGGCGGGGCGGGGUGUGGCCCUGACGGACAGCGCGUCCCGCCAAUCAGCGCGCGUCCGCACGCACGGCGCAGCGGCGCCCUCCUUUCUGCGCUGCGCAUGCGCCGGCGCAGGGGGUGCUGGGAGUUGUAGUUCGCUCUCCCGCAGCCCUUCACGGCAGCCAAUAGGUUUCUCCCUUUUUUUUUUUUUUUUCCUCCCUCAUUCUUUCGCAUUUUUUUUUUUCUCUUCAGGGUUGGGCCGAGGGGCGGCGGGGGCACCUCCAGGCCGCUCAUCCUGGCCGCGGAGGGUGCCGGGGCUCACCGCACGGAGCGGCCCAGGGCAGGCCUCACCCGCGGGGCCGCAGGGCCCGGUCCGGCUGAGUCAGGCGGGCGCCGCGCUCAGGGCUGGGCCAGCACUCCCCGCUGAGUAACAGCGGGCCGCCCGCACGCUGCGGGGCUGCGAGGCCUCGUGCCUCGGUUUCCCUCUUCAGGUUCCCUCCAGGGGCAGGUUGGGCCUUUGGGGUGGGGCCAGGGACGGCGGGCAGCCAGCAGCGGUCCUGGCACCCCUACUGUGAAAGGUUCUUGUGGGGCGAACAGAGGAACGCGAUGGUACCCGUGUGGGGACAGAACGGGAGCUCGGCCAGGAACUACAGAACCGUUCUGUUUGGAAAAACCCUCUCAGGUCACCACGUCCAACCCCGGGCCAUCCAUACCAUGACACCAAACCACGUCCCUCAGUGCCACACCUCAGCGGUCCUUCAACACCUCCAGUGACCCCUCCGCACCCCGGGCAGCAGCGCCUGACCGCUCUGUGGGUGCAAUCUGUGCCUGUGGAGGAGGAGGAAGUAGAACAGGAGGAAGAAGAACAGGAGGAAGGACACCACGGCAGGCAGCACACAGCCCCUCUCACAGGAGGAAGGUGCGGGGCAGGGCCCACGAGGGGCCCCAGCGAAGCCAAAGCACAGAACCACAGCACCUCAGCACCAGAGCGUGGUGGGAGGACGGGGACAUCUUCAGCACCCGCACCAGGGGGAACCAAAGCAGAGGACCAGGCAGGGAGCACCCACUGCAGCCCCAUCCUGGUUUCCAGGGCAGCACGCGUUCCUCCCAGAGCUCCCCUUUAUUUAGAAGCACUCCCCUCUCCCGCAGCGAUCCCAGCCCCACCCCACAGGCAGGCACAGCGAUGCUUUCUGCUUUUAUUCAAUUAAUGCAGCAAUCUAUACAAGAAAAAAAAUAAUAAUAAUGAAACCAUGAAAUUCCAAACCCUGACAGUGAAGAACCAAAUUCUUCCUAAGAAUCAACCAGAAUUAAAAGUAUCUCCCUGCGUCAGACUGUACAUAAAAUAAUCUCUGCCCCAUUUACAGCGUUUCACACAGUACUUCUCGUAUCUCAAACUUCAGAACUGUACAACUUUGUUACAAACCACGCUUUUUCCUAGGAAAAGCUUACAGAAAAAAAUAUUGCCACUUUCUUUUUUUUUUUUUAAUUUUUUUUUUUAAUUAUUUGUAACCAAAAAAAUUAGAAUCUUAUAAAACAAAAUUAAAGUCAGCCAGAACUCGUAAGUGUGGGCAGGGGGGGGGCAGGAAGGAGCAGAGACACAGUUCUGGGCUCAGCAUUUCUCCUCCUCGCCAGGAAAAGGAAGGCGAUUGGCAGACAAAAGACAAUUUGCCACUGGAUGGGGGGCCAGACCCCACGGCCGUGCCCCGAGCCCCCCUCCAGUCCAUUCCUAGCCAUGGGUUUGGAUUGAGACAUCUCUGAAGCCAGCAUGAGUGGCCGGUGGUGUCCCAGCCCUGAGUUCAGGGCUAGAUGUGGAAACUGGGGCUUCCCCGCUGCCUGCACGCUGCAGGGAGGUGGAAAUCACAGCUGGCAGCCUCCACCAGGCUCUGACAGCCCCUCCCUGAGCCAGCUCACCUCUCACUGCUGGCAAACAGCCCCAGGUUCUCUUCCAGAGGACAAGUGAAGCCUACACAACCAACACAAGAGCCUUAGUUGGACCGCCAAGUCUUCUCAAUACGCAGGUAAGGGCAGCAAACCCAAAUUCCUCCCUUUGCAGAAAAGCAGGGACAACUCCCAUCUACCUCCCCCUUCCUUAGGAAAGACAGUUCUCAUGGUCUGGGCUGUGGGUCUGAGUGCUUGUGGGGUCAUCACAUCGUACACAGCCUUAUGCCCCUGGAGGGGUGAGCAGGUUACACAGACAGCACGCUGCAGGUGGAUGGAGAGGAGUUGGGACUGCAUUGCUGAACUACAUGAAGACAAAGAAGCAGACUUGGUCAGGCCUGCACGUAAGCCCAUCUCCACACCAGACUCACACCACUGGUCUGAUGGAAGCCUUCACACAGCCAGGACAGAGAACAGGUAUGGGCAUCAGCAGUGUUUUGAGCCACAGAUUUAACAAACAAGUCACAGUAAGGGAUCUAGACAUCUGGAUCCACGUGAAAAAUGUGUCUUCUUGUUUCAAAUCAAGGUUUCACCCCAAUGUUGUUCAGUG
This 2789-nucleotide long non-coding RNA is filed under the name Gallus gallus (chicken). The record is from RNAcentral. Lineage: Eukaryota; Metazoa; Chordata; Aves; Galliformes; Phasianidae.